CCCUCUGCCUGCUGCUUGCCCUGCAUGUGCUCUCUCUCUCUGACGAAUAAAUAAAAUCUUUAAAAAACAACAACAAUGAAAACAGUGAUGGGCAUUUUUUAGAUACAUUUUUUAGUUGUUUCAGUUUGUGAAUUACCUUAUUUCCCACACCUAAAGCAUUGAAGUAAACCAAAAGGUGAAUUUAAAUCAUUGAUUAUCUUGGGGGUAGAGGGGGAGAUAUAUUUUGUUAAGUAAUAUUAAGUAAUUAGUGGUAAUUGAAAAGAAAGUUUUUUUUUUUUAAAGAUUUUAUUUUGAAGUAAUCUCUGCACCCAAUGAGGGGCUCAAACUCACAACGCUGAGAUCAGAAGUCUUAUGCUCUACUGACAGGUCCAGCCAGGUGCCCCGAAAACAUGAAGUUUUUUUAAUGUUUGGAUUUUAUUUUUAUUUUAUUUAUUUUAAAGAUAUUAUUUGAGAGAGAGAGAGAGAGAGAGAGAGCAUGAGUAGGGGGGAGGGGCAGAGGGAGAGGUGGAAGCGGACUUGCCACCGAGCAGAGAGCCUAAGGCAGGGGUUUAUCCCAGGACUUCGGGAUCACCUGGAAUCAUGAGAGCAGACGUUUAACCACCUGAGCCACCCAUGUGCCCUAAAUGUUUGGAUUUUAAAACUACAUACUGAUUUAAUGAGACAAGUUAUACAUGUGAAAUACUUGAAAAAGAUUGAGAAAGCUCUUUCCAUAAAAUAUUUGUCAAUAGCUGGUUAAUGUUUGGUGAAGGCCAACUAUUUUAGCUGCUGCUAGAACUAUUCAGGAAGGUAACCGAAGUGCUCUUACCCUGUGUGGGCAGUGGGUGACUAAGCACAUGUUUGAGGCCUCAGGAACAGCGGGGGCACGUUGCGAGAUGUGUAGUUAAGUGCCGAGUGCUUGUGUGGUGCACGUGUGAAGUUCUCCAGUAAUUCAGAGAGUGAAGGAGAUGAGUGACGAGUAGCCUUGACAGUGAAAGAGGAUUUUGGCGAAUGGAGUGGAAGUAGGAGGGCAUUCUGUGUGGGGAAACAGAAUGAGGAGGGCUUAGAUUUCACAUUAACCAGGUUUUGGCUUUUGGAGUGACCUUACUUUCUAUGAAUCCCCUGAUUGCUACCACUGAACUUGGAGCAGGCCUUUUAUCUCCUUCAUUACUCACUUCAUUCCUAUCUUAGUUAGGAUGCUUUUGAUAACAAAUAAAAAAAGAAAGGCUGACUCUUAACUGGCUUGCACCAUACACUAGGGACAUAGUGGUUCAUGGAACUAGAAAUCCCAGAGGGAGGCCAGGCUUCAGGGCUGGUCUGCUGAGUCAGUCCAGUGCUGUCUUUGAGGACCUGGUUUCUUCUCACUUCUGUUGUGUCAGCAUUUUCCUAAGGCUAGUUCUCCAAAUGACACCAUGGUCAUAGCAGAUGCAGGCUUCACAGUUGGUGUCCAGCCUACACCACAUCAACCAGAACAAGAGAGUGCAUGUGUGUUCCAGAGUUCUUGACUGUGUCCUGGGGUUUGUGCCCUUUGGGUCACCCUUGAACCAAGCACUGUGGGCAAGGGGUGUGGUGUGCCAAGUCAGGCUCCAUCUAGAGCUGGGAGUGCGUGUGUGUCAGCCUUCUGAGCUGGGGGACCACUCACUAGCAGGGAGGAGGAAAAUGAACUUUCAGAGGAUGGCUGCAAAGUUCAUUACCGUCCCAUCCGGGAACACCAUUUCUUCCCACUCUCCUUUUCCAGGUUUGUCAGUUCCUCCUUCUUCUGGACUCCUCUGAGUGAAGACUCUGCCCUUUUUUCUUGGCAAGUCAUCCAGCACAGUCCGAUGGCAUCCUACUGUAUUUCAGUCUUAAUUAAAUUUUAUUGUACCUUAACUAUGCAUGUAUUCUUUUUGGGUAGCCCCAAGCCCCAGGUUCUAAUCCUGGCUCUCCCAUCUUCUGUUCCUGGGAUCUUGGGCAGUUAGUUCGCUGAACUUGAAGUUUUUUCAUCUUAACACACAGUCAACAGAUAUUUACUAGAUUCUAAGUAUUGUACUUAAGCACUUAAGUGGUUGGGAUCCAGAACUGAAAGACACAAGGAGAUCACAAUUCAUUUACAGAGACAUACAGGUAAAUGAGAAAUUACCAUGAGAUGUGAUGUUGCUUUGACAGAAAUAAGGAAUUGGGAAGACUUCCCUGAGGAGGGGUGCCUGUGUUGACCCUUGACAGGCAAGUGGUGGUCACAGCAGCGAGGGAGGAAGGAGCUGCUUGCAUGAAGGCUUCAGGGCAAGAGAAUAACUGGGGUCUUCGCUGCACAACAAGGCGAGGCUGGAUUAUUUAGGCGGGGAUGGCCCUUAUUCCAAGCUAAAGGGCUUAGAUUCCAUCUCUUUAUACUGUACAGUUAUACAUCCUGGUUUACACCUGUUGUCCCGGGAUAACUAAUGUGAUUCUUUCAUACUGAACUGUGCUUCCAGUUGGGGUGAUAAAUGGUCACCUGACUUAAAGUGGGAGUUGAGAGCCAUGUGGUGGCAGUGUACAGGAAGCAGUGCUUACCUUAGAGUAGGACCUGGGAUCACAUAGCAAUAUAGCAGGACUUCUCAAACCUCAACUACAGAAAGAGUCAGCUGGGGAUCUUUUUGAUGGCACAUUUGGCUGCUGUAGGUGUGAGGUGGGGCUUGAGAGCUGCAUAAACUCUUGAGUUAUGCUAUUGUUACUGGCAUGGGGACCACCCUUUGAGUAGCAGGGUAGGAUAGGACAUUAGGAGUGUCAAAGGGUCCCUAAAGUCCCUGGAAUCAUACACAAAAAUGUGGGUGUGUGCAUUCUUCAGGAAGUGGUCCUAAUUUGCUUACAUCAGAUUCUCAGGGGCUCUGCAACCACCCCAAAACAGUUAAAAUCACUGCCUUUUAGAAAUAAUGUAAUCAUGAAAUGACAUAUAUACACGAAAUGCCUUUAAGGCAGUGCCUGACUCAGGAGAGUAAUCCAGAAUGCUUUAGGUAUCUGUCUUCCAUCCCUCCCACUCCUCUUCCCCUGGCCAAGUUCUUUGAGGCAGGAAACAUUGCUUAAACAUUUAAAAUAACUUUUUAAUGUUUUGUAUACUAUCAGUGCUCGGCAAAAAUCUGUGUAGUUUGGUGACAAACUGUUUCAGGACUGUUAGCCAUCCUGACCGCAUUUGAAGGUCCUCUUUGUGUGUCAGGUAUUUUACUGGGUGUUGAGAGACUGCCAUUGGAUGUCAUGGGUAGCCAGGCUUGAGGUAGGCUCAUCAGGGCGUGAGUUGGAUAGUAACAGGAACGGCAGGAUUGAAGAGGAGAUGAAUCAUAUUUUUCUAAUCUUAUUAUUGAGGUGUAAUGUAUGUUCAGAAAGGUGCUGCUCCUGCCUUUGAUGCAUUGAGACAUUGUUCUCUGGGUCUCCGUUGUGUGGGAUAUCGGUAGGCAUCAGUUAGAAGGCUGCUCGUACUUCAUGGAGUUGCCUUGUUCAAGCUGUACUUGUAGAGCUUUCUGAACAUUUUGGUAUUUUGUUGAUUUGGUAUUUGGUAUUUUGUUGAUUGUCCCAGAAAUUUGGGAUGGAAAGAGUACCUAAUUUAAGAUAAUCUUCAAAGUUUCUCAUCUAGGAGGCUAGCAGAACAAUGAAGUAUGCCAUUGGCAUAAGUGUAGAAGCUGGUUUUGAGAAAAUAAUGGGCCUUUUGAAUUUAAGGUUAAACAUAAAAGAGGAAGUGCUGUGGGGCUGGCAGCCUGGAAAAUGGAACUGCAGUAUGAUGGCGCAGUCCACAUGGAAGAUGUGAAUUUGGACUUUACCAACACAGUUGAUGCUCGGAGAGCAGGAGAGCUUCUUGUGGGGGAUCUUGAGGGACCAGCCGAAAUGAGAGGAGGGGAGUGGUGGGAGGCAGAGUCCAGUCUUACAGGGUAUGGGAGCCACUGGUAGAUAGAGUGUAUGUGAGAGCUCUUGAUGUUAACAGAUUGAUGCUUGAUGGAAAGACACACUAGCUGGAGGGCGUAAAAGGAUGCUGGAUUGGAUGGGAGGUUAUUUCUGAAAAAGAGUGUUGGGGGUGUUAGAUUUCAGUUAGUUAAGAGCAAAUGGGAAAUGAGCUCAGUUAUAAAAGAACUGUCUUUGUGGAAAAGACAUGACUAAAAAGUUGGAAGGGGGCAGGUACCAGGCUGGUUGAGUGGGUUGAGCGUCUGACUCUUGGUUUUUGCUCAGGUCGUGUUCUUGGGUUCACGAGAUGGAGUCCCACAUAGGGCUCUGCACUCAGGGAGGAGUCUGCUUGAGAUUCUUUCCCCCUCCCUCUCCCUCCCUUUGUUCACACACACUCUCUCUCUCUAAAAUAAAUUAAAUUUUUUAAAAGUUGCAUGGGAGUGGAAUUUUUUUUGUCAAAUUAUUUCAGUUGCAUGAUAGUUUUUCUUCUGAUUGACAUUUAGCCUUGUUGUCUUUAAGUUGUUAGUGAUCGAUAAACCCUUAAAAACACUAAAAGAGUUCUCAUUUUAUUUUGUUAUUUUAUUAUUUUAAGAUUUUGUUUAUUUAUGAGAGCACAUGCAUGUGAGCUUGAGUGUGGAGAGGGGCAGAGGGAGAGGGAGAAGCAGACUCUCUGCUGAGCAAGGAGCCUGAUGCAGGGCAGGACCCUGGAAUCAAACCCAAGCCAGAGGCAGACACUUAAUCAACUGAGCCACCCAGGUGCCCCAAGAGUUCCCAUUUUAAAAACAUCUGUCCUGGAUGUUGUUCAUCAAGCAGUAGGUCAUCUUAUAAAGUGAAUAAUCAUUUCAAAUUGUUUCAUAGUUGCUUCUGUCUGGUUUGGGGGCAUAACUGAGUGGCAAAGUAGCUCUGCUCACCUUCCCUCCUGUUAUCUGCUUAGUUUCUCCCACCCUUCAAUGUGUUUAGUGGUAGAGCUUUUUCGUAGGUUACGGGAACACCCCUGCACAGUGAUUCUGAACCCUAACUGCACAUCAGAAUUACACAGGAAGUGUUAAAAAUGUUGAGUGAAGUCUUGGCACCCCUUACCCCCAUUGAACCCCGAUUUUUUGCAGCUAAGACCUGAGGAUCCUCAGGUGAUUCUAGGGGAUAGCCUGGGCUGAGAAUCACUGCCAUCGGCCUUUAACCUGCAUAGCUCACCCUGCUUCCCUGCUAGGUGAGCCCCACCAGUGUUUGAUUUUCUGCUUCUGUAUGGGAAACAGUACUGUGAGCUAAUUGGGUAAAAUACCUCUUUUCUAGGAUACUGAAGUUUUGAGCUGUACAUAUUUACCGUAAAGGGGACUUUCUGAAGUCUCAGGUUUUAUUUUCUCUAAUAAAAGAUUUUUAGGGGCCCCUGGGUGACACAGUCGGUUAAAUGUCCGACUCUUGGUGUUGGCUCAGGUCGUGAUCUCAGGGUUGUGAGGUCAAGCCCCAUGUCAGGCUCCACGCUUAGCUCAGAGUCUCCUUGAGGUUCUCUCUCCCUUUCCCACUUGUGUGUGCUUGCUCGCUUGCUCUCUCUCUCUCUCAAAUAAAUAAAUCUUAAAAGAUUUUUAAUCAUAACAGUGAACUUAAAUACAUAAUUCAGGAAUGAAGUUCAGUCUGUUGUUUUCGCUGGUAAAGGAAACUAUUUCUGCAUAGUUGCAGUCUUCGUUUUCAGCAGAUCAUUAGGUAGAAGUAAAGCUGAAAAAGCAAGCAGUGGACUCUGCUGGCCUUAGCUGUCAGCACUGUAUUUGUUGUGUUCUUUUAUUUUCAGCAGGUCGAAAUUUAGCAGCUUUUAUUGCUUGGACCAACUCUUCUAAGUAACUUUGAUUUUCAUUAACAACCAAAGCAACUCAUUAAGGGGAACACGGGGAACUUUUGAGAGCCAUAGAAAGGGUUGAAGGUAUCUUCCUCCCUCUGGAUGUAUGGGAUACAGACAGGGGUGUAAGUUGGGCAGCCCUAGAUCUUGCGAGGUAUUUAAGAAACCAUGGGCAAUGGCCAGCAAAUUGAAGAAAGUCAUUUAUGUAGUAACACUGCUUUUUUCCAGAUGUGUUUAAACUUGAAGCUCUGGUUCAGCGAUGCACUUUUCUUUCUGGCAGGUGGCCUUCAGUAGCCCAGCUUCUGUUGGUUUGGUUCCAGCAUAUUUCAUUAAGUGAAAAAUCCUGUAGAACAGACGCACUUACAAGUUUCUGCGCAUGUAGCUCUCUGUUUAAUGAGACACGUGAGGUUUGACUCAGUGUUCCUGGCAGUAAUUGUCUGUGUGUGGUGUGGUGUUUGGGUAGGGGGUCCGGGUAUCUAGGCACUUACAAAGGCUGAGCCGGGCCAGAACAGUCUGAGGCCGUGAUUGGGGAACUACAAGAGUGGACACCCUUACGGUGACAACAGGCAGGAAAAUACAGGUGUCCUGCAUAAUAUGGUGGGUGGUGGUGGGUGCUACCAGUAAGUGUUUGGACCAAUGAACAUGAGAUCUUUAAAAAAAUCCUAGUGCGUGGAUGUCUACAAACAGAGUACUUAAGAAUACUCCUUAUGUAAAUGAAAGAUUUAUGCUGUGGUCCUUGGUCUUCAAGAGCUGUUUUUAUAAUACAGCUGCCUCAUCCACCUUAUUUGUAGGUGUGCAUUGAUUGUGCAUGGAUUUUAAAAAAUCAACCAUUUUGAGGUAUGAUUUAAUACAAUAAGUGUGCUCAAAAUUUUCGGUUUUCAGUUUGAGCUUUGAUAAAUACAUGCCAAGGUAACUACUACCACAGUCAGUCUGUUGCCCUGGAAGUUCCCUCAUGCCCCUUUGCCGUGGAUCUCUAUCCUGUACUGAGGCAGGUCUUGAUCUGCUGUCCCUCGAGGCUCUUCCCCUUUUCUAGAAUUUUGUUGAGGCAGAAUUAUUUGGCGUGUACUCUUCUUUCUGGCUUCUCUCACUCUGCAGAACGUUCUGAGAUUCGUCCAUACUGUAGGAAUCCUCUCCCUUUCAGUGUGGAGUGGUAUUUCAUCAUACGGCCGUACUACAGUUUCUUCACCUCUUGAUGAACAUUUGUUGUUCUCGUGUUUGUAAUGAUUGAAGCUGUGGUCUGCACUCCUGUGCAAGUCUUUGGUGGACAUAGGUUUUCACUUCUUGUGGGUCAACUAUCUGGAAGUGGAAUUGUUGGGUCACAUGGUGUGCGUGUUUUAUUUUAUAGAAAGCUGCCGAGUUUCUCCACAGUGUCUGUGUUGUUUGACACCUGCACCAACAAUCAACGAGAGUUCCCCUUCUGUAUCCUCCCAGCACUUGGUAUUGUCAGUCUUGCUAAUUUUAUUGUGCAUCAAUUUAAAAGGGAAGAAUUUUUUUGUCCACAAGAACAAGAGUCCACGUUGAUGACAGAAAAGUGAAUCUGAGUGCAGAUAGGUGGUUCUUAGUGAAAUAUGUUUAAAAAAAAAAAGUUUGAACCAAAAAGAGAGGGGGACAGUAAAGACUGGGAGAGGGCCCUCUUCACACUGUACAUAGGAGACUUAUUUGGUAGGCAAGGAUAGUAGGGGUAGGGAAUGAAACUGGAUUUUUAGAAGGUUGACCUGCCCUGAUACUUUUUGAUCACAUCUGUCGUUUGUUUUACCCUUUUUUCCCCUUCUGGAUUUAAAAUGUGAAAGUUGAUUUUUCUUUAGUUUGGGAGACCCCAUAGUAAUUGUGCAUGAUUUUCCUCUGGGUCAAAAUACAUGCUCUGAAUAAGUUUUCUGUAAAGCUUAAUUGAAAUUGUCUUAUGUUUAAAUGUUACAUUUAAAAAUUAAAGGUUAUAUAUUUAAAGAUUAUAUUGAAAAGUGAAAAUUGUGCUUCUGGCUGGAACAUCUCUGAUCUUAAAAACAGGAGAAUAAAAACCAGUCAGGGCAGUCCAGGUGAUUUGACAGCACUGACAUGUGGGAAGUUCCCGAUGUGGAGGCUGGAGAGGUUAUCAUUCCUUAUCCCUAGAACUUACAUUUGCUGUAGGGUUUUCUCUUCAUCUUCCUUUUCCUGAGUUCACUGUUCAGCAAGGCUUUUUUGAGCACCUACUACAUGCCAAGUACUUACUGCAUUAGCUGCUGGCAAUACAAAGAUGAAUUCGACUUGGUUCCUGUUCUUUAGAAACAAAAACCAAAAAACAACUUUAUGGAGACAUAAUAUAUCUGUACUGAAUUUCACCCUUUUAAAGUAUAUAUGACGAAUCUUAACAAAUGCACAUGUUUGUGUAAUCACCUCCACAGGUAAGAUACCUUUCAACCCUUUCUCUGGCUCCCAGAACUUCUGCUUGUGCCCCCUGCAGCCAGCCUAUCUUCUCAUUCACCCUGGGCCCCAGCAAAGACAGUGUCAUCUCCACGUGUUCCCAAACCACCCACACCACUUUGUGGAGUUGAAAGUGUGCUGUGACCGACUGUUCAAUAGACAGCAGUUAACAUCCAUCAAGUAAGAGGCAUGAUCAGUAAAGACCCAGGAAGAAAACAUGCCUCAAGAAAAUAAUCUAAUGAUCCUGUCCAACCUUCCAGUUCUCAUCCUUAUAUGUCUUCUCCACAUUCUGAAAUAAAAUAGGGGUCCUUCUUCGUAAGAGAAGAUAAAAUGGAUGUUUUUGCUAUUUAUAUUAAAUUAAGCACCAGGAAUCCAGUUUAGCGACUCUUAUUACCUGCAUUGGACUUCACAGCUGCAGUAUCAGCAGUUUCUUGGGCCCUUCUGCUUUGUUUACAACUCUUGUAUCUCUUGAAUUCAUUUUCUGGAAUUCUUAAGCACCCCUCCCCCAA
Molecule: long non-coding RNA, 8592 nt
Organism: Ailuropoda melanoleuca (giant panda)
Lineage: Eukaryota; Metazoa; Chordata; Mammalia; Carnivora; Ursidae
Exons: 3
Source: RefSeq, a predicted model, not a curated record